GGGCAUAUGGCUCAGUGGUAAAGUGUGUGCUUAGCAUGCAUAAGGUCUUGGGUUCAAUCCAUAGUACCUCCA
RNAcentral lists this transfer RNA (72 nucleotides) under Camelus bactrianus (Bactrian camel). It matches the Rfam family "tRNA". From Rfam's summary of the family: Transfer RNA (tRNA) molecules are approximately 80 nucleotides in length. The record is from Rfam by way of RNAcentral. Lineage: Eukaryota; Metazoa; Chordata; Mammalia; Artiodactyla; Camelidae. RNAcentral also lists the same sequence under 2 other names.